UAAAUUGUCAUUUAUUAUUUCUGGCAUAUCUGUAAGUAUAGCCCAGUAUUUAAUAAGUCGGCCUCCAUCAUCCACUGGUGGCCUUUGGUUUCUAAGACAAAUCCGGACCUGAUGUGAAGUCAUUAGAGUCAGGGACUGUCCCAUAGUGAGCUUUGAGGCUCUUUUAUGAGGACUUUUCUAGGUUGCACUAAAGCAUCUCUUU
Molecule: long non-coding RNA, 202 nt
Organism: Lutra lutra (Eurasian river otter)
Lineage: Eukaryota; Metazoa; Chordata; Mammalia; Carnivora; Mustelidae
Exons: 6
Source: RefSeq, a predicted model, not a curated record